RNAcentral lists this transfer RNA (61 nucleotides) under Podarcis lilfordi (Lilford's wall lizard). RNAcentral describes it as "tRNA.Undet". The record is from RNAcentral. Lineage: Eukaryota; Metazoa; Chordata; Lepidosauria; Squamata; Lacertidae.
GGUGGCCAUAGCUCAGUGGUAGAGCAUCUGAAGGUCCCAGAUUCAACCCCUGAUGGCAUCU